AUUGAACGCUGGUGGCAUGCUUUACACAUGCAAGUCGAACGGUAACAGGGUGCUUGCACCGCUGACGAGUGGCGAACGGGUGAGUAAUGCGUCGGAACGUGCCGAGCAGUGGGGGAUAACGCAUCGAAAGGUGUGCUAAUACCGCAUACGUACUGAGGUAGAAAGGGGGGGACCUUCGGGCCCCCAGCUAUUCGAGCGGCCGACGUCUGAUUAGCUAGUUGGUGAGGUAAAGGCUCGCAAAGGCGACGAUCAGUAGCGGGUCUGAGAGGAUGAUCCGCCACACUGGGACUGAGACACGGCCCAGACUCCUACGGGAGGCAGCAGUGGGGAAUUUUGGACAAUGGGCGCAAGCCUGAUCCAGCCAUGCCGCGUGUCUGAAGAAGGCCUUCGGGUUGUAAAGGACUUUUGUCCGGGAGCAAAUACCCAGUGCUAAUAACGCUGGGGGCUGAGAGUACCGGAAGAAUAAGCACCGGCUAACUACGUGCCAGCAGCCGCAGUAA
Molecule: ribosomal RNA, 500 nt
Filed under: uncultured bacterium
Lineage: Bacteria
Description: partial 16S ribosomal RNA
Rfam family: Bacterial small subunit ribosomal RNA
Source: RNAcentral